This 439-nucleotide ribosomal RNA is filed under the name uncultured bacterium. RNAcentral describes it as "partial 16S ribosomal RNA". It matches the Rfam family "Bacterial small subunit ribosomal RNA", at positions 339 to 795 of the family's 1533-position model. The record is from RNAcentral.
CUACGGGAUGCUCCAGUGGGGAAUAUUGCACAAUGGGGGAAACCCUGAUGCAGCAACGCCGCGUGGAGGAUGACGCAUUUCGGUGUGUAAACUCCUUUUAUAUAGGAAGAUAAUGACGGUACUAUAUGAAUAAGCACCGGCUAACUCCGUGCCAGCAGCCGCGGUAAUACGGAGGGUGCAAGCGUUACUCGGAAUCACUGGGCGUAAAGCGCACGCAGGCGGCCCCUUAAGUUGGAUGUGAAAGCCUACGGCUUAACCGUAGAACUGCAUCCAAAACUGAGGGGCUAGAGUCUGGGAGGGGAAGAUGGAAUUAGUUGUGUAGGGGUAAAAUCCGUAGAGAUAACUAGGAAUACCAAAAGCGAAGGCGAUCUUCUGGAACAGUACUGACGCUGAGGCGCGAAAGCGUGGGGAGCAAACAGGAUUAGAUACCCUUGUAGUC